This 438-nucleotide ribosomal RNA is filed under the name uncultured bacterium. RNAcentral describes it as "bacterial SSU rRNA". It matches the Rfam family "Bacterial small subunit ribosomal RNA", at positions 28 to 449 of the family's 1533-position model. The record is from RNAcentral.
GAUGAACGCUGGCGGCGUGCUUAACACAUGCAAGUCGAACGGGAAUUACUUUAUUGAAACUUCGGUCGAUUUAAUUUAAUUCUAGUGGCGGACGGGUGAGUAACGCGUGGGUAACCUGCCUUAUACAGGGGGAUAACAGUCAGAAAUGGCUGCUAAUACCGCAUAAGCGCACAGAGCUGCAUGGCUCAGUGUGAAAAACUCCGGUGGUAUAAGAUGGACCCGCGUUGGAUUAGCUUGUUGGUGGGGUAACGGCCCACCAAGGCGACGAUCCAUAGCCGGCCUGAGAGGGUGAACGGCCACAUUGGGACUGAGACACGGCCCAGACUCCUACGGGAGGCAGCAGUGGGGAAUAUUGCACAAUGGGGGAAACCCUGAUGCAGCGACGCCGCGUGAAGGAAGAAGUAUCUCGGUAUGUAAACUUCUAUCAGCAGGGAAGAU